GUAAAGCAGAGGACUG
RNAcentral lists this transfer RNA (16 nucleotides) under Malacomeles paniculata. RNAcentral's name for it is "Amelanchier paniculata partial tRNA-Phe". The record is from RNAcentral. Lineage: Eukaryota; Viridiplantae; Streptophyta; Magnoliopsida; Rosales; Rosaceae.